This 1263-nucleotide long non-coding RNA is filed under the name Salmo salar (Atlantic salmon). Its description in RNAcentral is "lncRNA (ENSSSAG00000118037.1)". Lineage: Eukaryota; Metazoa; Chordata; Actinopteri; Salmoniformes; Salmonidae. The record is from RNAcentral.
GGAACAUGAACUUUAAUGUGCCUUAAUAGGUGUGUGAUUACGGUUCAUCUAUUGUAUUUUAUGAACAUGUGUACAUGUCUUGACGUAGAGAUCCAUCCACUUAGCUAGAUGUGGCUGGUUAUAGCAAUUCUUUCACAUGACCCAUCAAUUUAGACAAGUGUGUCUGGGUAAUAUGUAUACAAUAUUUAUCUGGACACUCUAUUUUUUAUAUUGCUACUAUGCAAAUAUGCAAGUAACCAUUUCACUGUACUGUUUACACCUUCUGUAUCCUUUGCAUGUGACAAAUAAACAUAGAUUUUAUUUGAUAUAGUGUGUGUUUACCAGAGAUGGUAAUGUGAAGAACAACAUGACCUGCACCGAAGUCAGAUUAGGAUAUAGGCCAAGAAAUAGAUUGUUUAUUUGUACUACUACUUUCACCACUUUUAGACUUGAAAAAUCUUUGGUUGUUUACUACACUGCCUUACUCACUCUGUUUAGCAUAUGGCCUCACAUGUGACUCCUUAAAGAGAUGGGUGUAAAUGCUUAAGAGGGUGUAAAUGGGGCGGCCAGCGUAGCCUAGUGGUUAGAGUGUUGGACUAGUAAACGAAAGGUUGCGAGUCCGAAUCCCCGAGCUGACAAGGUAAAAAUCUGUCGUUCUGCCCCUGAACAAGGCAGUUAACCCACUGUUCCUAGGCCGUCAUUGAAAAUAAGAAUGUGUUAUUAACUGACUUGCCGAGUUAAAUAAAAUAAAUGAUGCUGAAAGAAGAAGACCUCUCCAGUAGAUGUAGUAAAAUAUUCAAGGACCAUUUUCUCAAAAGUUGAUGAACUUUCAAAGCAGACUUACUUUUGCAUUGUUCCUCAACUGCAGUUAAUGAUAUACCAUUUUCUCAACUUUUAUCCAAUAUAAAAAAAAAAAAUCCGGGUUUGGAGCGGGUAGUCGCACUUCGCUUCGCUCCACAGGUAAUAUUACAUUUCAUUACAUUACAACGGUUUGAUUUGUUUGAUCUGAGCAAUUUUUUCUUAGCUAGCUACAUAGCCGUCUUUGUAUCAAAGAUAAUUGUGUAGUUUAGAGUAAUUAUCGAGGUUAGCUAGCCAGCCGCGACGCGACGCCGUUGUACAGACUCCAGACUUAGUCAACACACCUAGUCAUCAUCAAACCCACUGCUAGCUAGCCAACCUUUACUGACUAGCAGCAUUGUAGAAACUAAUACAUCACAACGGAACGAUUUGACUAGUGCAGUGUUAGCUGUCUUUGUCAUAGUUUGAUAAUUGUGUAGUUUAGAG